GUGGGCUUGGCGGAACUGGUAGACGCCCGAGACUUAAAAUCUUGUUUUCCUUAGGGAAAGUGCGGGUUCGACUCCCGCAGCCCACACCA
This 89-nucleotide transfer RNA is filed under the name Caudoviricetes sp. RNAcentral's name for it is "tRNA-Leu". It matches the Rfam family "tRNA". Rfam says of the family: Transfer RNA (tRNA) molecules are approximately 80 nucleotides in length. Their secondary structure includes four short double-helical elements and three loops (D, anti-codon, and T loops). Further hydrogen bonds mediate the characteristic L-shaped molecular structure. tRNAs have two regions of fundamental functional importance: the anti-codon, which is responsible for specific mRNA codon recognition, and the 3' end, to which the tRNAs corresponding amino acid is attached (by aminoacyl-tRNA synthetases). tRNAs cope with the degeneracy of the genetic code in two manners: having more than one tRNA (with a specific anti-codon) for a particular amino acid; and 'wobble' base-pairing, i.e. permitting non-standard base-pairing at the 3rd anti-codon position. Lineage: Duplodnaviria; Heunggongvirae; Uroviricota; Caudoviricetes. The record is from RNAcentral.